GAUGAACGCUGGCGGCGUGCCUAAUACAUGCAAGUCGAGCGAACAGAUAAGGAGCUUGCUCCUUUGACGUUAGCGGCGGACGGGUGAGUAACACGUGGGUAACCUACCUAUAAGACUGGGAUAACUUCGGGAAACCGGAGCUAAUACCGGAUAACAUUUGGAACCGCAUGGUUCUAAAGUGAAAUAUGGUUUUGCUAUCACUUAUAGAUGGACCCGCGCCGUAUUAGCUAGUUGGUAAGGUAACGGCCUAUCAAGGCGACGAGACGUAGCCGACCUGAGAGAGGGAUCGCCCACACGAGAACGUGGACACGGUCCAGACGCCUGAGGGAGGCAGCAGUAGGGAAUCGUACGCAGUGGGCGAAAGCCUGACGGAGCAACGGGGCGUGAGAGAUGGAGGGUUUGGGUGCGUAAAACUCUGUUAUUAGGGAAGAACAAAUGUGGAAGGAACUGUGCACGUCUUGACGGUACCUAAUCAGAAAGCCACGGCUAACUACGUG
RNAcentral lists this ribosomal RNA (497 nucleotides) under uncultured bacterium. Its description in RNAcentral is "partial 16S ribosomal RNA". It matches the Rfam family "Bacterial small subunit ribosomal RNA", at positions 28 to 507 of the family's 1533-position model. The record is from RNAcentral.